GACGAACGCUGGCGGCGUGCUUAACACGUGCAAGUCGAACGGAAAGGCCCUGCUUUUGUGGGGUGCUCGAGUGGCGAACGGGUGAGUAACACGUGAGUAACCUGCCCUUGACUUUGGGAUAACUUCAGGAAACUGGGGCUAAUACCGGAUAGGAGCUCCUGCUGCAUGGUGGGGGUUGGAAAGUUUCGGCGGUUGGGGAUGGACUCGCGGCUUAUCAGCUUGUUGGUGGGGUAGUGGCUUACCAAGGCUUUGACGGGUAGCCGGCCUGAGAGGGUGACCGGCCACAUUGGGACUGAGAUACGGCCCAGACUCCUACGGGAGGCAGCAGUGGGGAAUAUUGCACAAUGGGCGGAAGCCUGAUGCAGCUACGCCGCGUGCGGGAUGACGGCCUUCGGGUUGUAAACCGCUUUCGCCUGUGACGAAGCGUGAGUGACGGUAAUGGGUAAAGAAGCACCGGCUAACUACGUG
This 468-nucleotide ribosomal RNA is filed under the name uncultured bacterium. Its description in RNAcentral is "partial 16S ribosomal RNA". It matches the Rfam family "Bacterial small subunit ribosomal RNA", at positions 28 to 507 of the family's 1533-position model. The record is from RNAcentral.